RNAcentral lists this ribosomal RNA (128 nucleotides) under uncultured Clostridium sp. RNAcentral describes it as "partial 16S ribosomal RNA". It matches the Rfam family "Bacterial small subunit ribosomal RNA", at positions 1255 to 1382 of the family's 1533-position model. The record is from RNAcentral. Lineage: Bacteria; Bacillati; Bacillota; Clostridia; Eubacteriales; Clostridiaceae.
CCGCGAGGUGGAGCAAAUCUCACAAAACUCAUCCCAGUUCGGAUUGCAGGCUGAAACUCGCCUGCAUGAAGCCGGAGUUGCUAGUAAUCGCGAAUCAGCAUGUCGCGGUGAAUACGUUCCCGGGCCUU